RNAcentral lists this long non-coding RNA (21518 nucleotides) under Solanum tuberosum (potato). RNAcentral's name for it is "long non-coding RNA (STUB_LNC010384)". The record is from RNAcentral. Lineage: Eukaryota; Viridiplantae; Streptophyta; Magnoliopsida; Solanales; Solanaceae.
AUUUGUUGUAUGUUACUCUGGCAACUUAGUCGACACCACAGUUGACUUGAUUCCCUUAUGUGAUGAUGGGAUGACCCAGAAACUAGAAUUAUCCUUCCUUCCAAAUUAUGAUACAGAAUUAUCCGACGAUUCAGAAUGUGAUACUGAACCUACGAUUCAUUUUUUCUUGGUAUCUCUUGCUGUCUUAUGGGAAACAUCUAAGGCAAAUGGAAAAACACCUAAUGACUAUGGGCUUAUUACAUUAUUGUUCUCCGGAGAAACGAAGGAGUUUGGAUUCCGUUUGUUGUAUAAAGAUGAACCAACAGAACAUUGCAUUGGGACACCAUGAUGAAGCCAAUUGCUCCUCGUCUAAGAAACAAAGCUCUUAUUUCUAAUAUUCAUUGGAGCUGUCUUUGAGAAUCUGCAGCAACAACCAGUCUCUUUCAGAAACUUUGCAGCUCUCUCCCCCAAGCCCAGAAUUUUGUCUUAAAUAUAGGUAAUAUACCUCAUGAUUGUUUUUCCCCUAGUUGGUAGUGAAAUUCUGUUCAACUCUCUUUUUAUGUACUUCUCUCCUAUUAGCUACAAAGUCUUCUUCCAAUUCUGUUAAUAACUAUUUCAUUCUUUCCUUUUUUUUUCUUUAUUCUUUCCCGUACUGACAGGAGCUCAUCAAUGGUGAUGUAUGUAUCAACAGUGAGUUUUGUUGAUUGAUUCUCCAUCUUGUGUUAAGCCAUGAUUAACCAUGGUGAGUUAAAGGAUGUGAGCAAGUUUUUUUUUUGAUACUCAAAUCAGAUCCUGGAAUCAUUCAAUCUUCAUAAAUUCUUACCUUAAAAUGUGCUCACAAAUGAAUAGAAUAAUCCUACAUUUUAUCCUGGUAUUUUUAUCACUUAUCCCUCAUACCAAAUAACCCUUAGGGUCAUUUGGUUGGGAACAAGUUAUCCUGGGAUAAGUUAUUCUACUAUGUAUAUGGAAUAACUUAUCCCAUCAAUGAUCAAUAUAGUAUAAAAUUAUAAAUGGUGGGAUAAAUAAUUCAAAGACUACCUAAUACCUCCGACCAAACACAUGAUAAAAUUAUCUUGCAUUUAUCCCUAGAAUAUUAUACCUUAUAUCUCACACCAAACGACUUCAUAGAGUAUUGGAAACAAAUUUCUCGUAAGUUCUAUAUUAUACUCAAUUUUGUUUUUCGACUUGUUCAUUUGUGGUUCUUUUUACAAUUCAAUUGGCUCUAAAGUGAUUUUCUGAAAUCAAGUAUUUUUUGUUUCUUUAAUUAGUUCACACACCUUUUUCAGUGAGAAUGAAGGACCAGGAUUCCUACUUAGAAUCAAUUAUCAUAUUCAUUUUGAAGUAUCAUUUCAGAUGAAUACUUCAAUUGCUAUUUCCAUUGUUCAAAUUGGGUGAUCCGCAAUCGGAGUCUUUGAUAAGGACUUAUAUCUAAACCUCUUUGGUUUGCUGUGUGAUGUUUUAGCAUCAAUCCCCUACAUUUGAAAAAAAAAAUGGAAUAGUUCUCAACUAAUCUGUAGAUGCUUAUAUAUCAUAUUACUUCUUCAAGUAAGGGAAACAUUCUCUUAGUUCUUCAUUUAAUUAUGUGCUGUAUUAGUUACAGAACUAGUUUUUCCUCCAUGCAGUAAAUUUUAGUGGGGUUUUCAGGCCUGUGCAGUUGACAGUUAACUAAGCAGGAGCAAUAGACUGAACUCUGAAGAUGUUUGAUGAAGUGAGCACUCUGAAUUUCAUUUCUAGAACGUAACUCGAAUUUUAAUUUAUAGAACUAAUCUUGAAUGCUACAGAUGCUUACUAUUGUGAUGGCAAUCUUAUCUGAAAGAACCAACUCUUUUAUAACUAACUCUUUUAUAACUGAUGUUCACCAUUUUACUUGCGAAAUAAUUUUCAUUUUAGAAAAACCAGAAGUUUCUUGAACAUUACAUAACUUUAAAAGCUUUAUGUGGGAUGACUCUGUUUAGCACUUUUAAUUCCUCUAAUUCUAAAUUGAACCUCCACAUUUAACUUGUCACUAAGAGUGUUCAUCAUUGAGCAUCCUGAGAAGAAGAUCCCAAGUUGGUUCCACCAUCAGGGAAUGGAUAACUUCUUGGGAUUUACUUUGUCAAGUUUGAAAACAUGGUUUUGAAAUUCAGUGUUUGCAAAGCCUUGAGGCUGCUUGACAUAUACGUCCUCCUUUAGAAUCCAUUCAGGAAGGUACUUUGCACAUCCAUUUGAUGGAGUGUGAAUUCCAUAUAGGCAGCAACUGUUGCCUUGUUACAAAUGAGAGAAAAUAAUGAUGAACCAACAGAGCAUCUCGUUGUGACAGGUACAAGCAGAUACGGAAAUUGUGAACAACAUUACUCCGUGACCAAUGAAGCCAGUUAAAAUGUCAAAUACUCAAUAACAUUAGAAACAAAGGCCAUAUUUCUUAAAUAUAGGUAAUAUACCUCAUGAUUUUCUUUUUCCCGUUUGUCAUGAAACUGUGCUCUCUCCCUCCUAUCAUCUACAAAAUCUUCUUCUAAUAUUGAUAAUUAUUUUAUGCUGAUUCUUCUUUCUUUUUCCCAUUGUGUUUUCUUUCUUCUUUCCCUUAUUGACAGGAGCUCAUCAAUGGUUUGAUUUACAUAUAAUCAGUAAAUUUUAUCAAUUGAUUCUUCAUCGUAUAUCCGCUUGUGUGAGCCAUGAUUAACCCAGGUGAGUUGAAGGCUAACAUGAAAUUAAAAUUUUCAAUGCUUAGAUCAGAUUCUGGAAUCAUGCAACAUUAAUUCAGUUGGUACCUAAAAGUACUCGCAAAUCAAUUGGUUGAAUUUGAAAAUAAGUGCUCUAAAAUGAAAAGAUAAUGCUACAAAUUGAGGGAAAUUACGAUGAAGUAAUAGCCACUAUUUGAGUUAUGGAUGCCAGAAAUUUAUGCUGUCAUUUUGAAGAGAUUUCAAGAAGUGCAGGCAAGUCACAGGAAAAAUGAAAAUCCUUGAUAGUACCAUAUGCUCGAAUUUCCAUAUGGACAAUAGAGCUGCUUUACCCACAGGAGCACUUUUUUUUUUUACAAUUUAACUGGCUCUAAAAUGGUUUGUGAAGAUAAAUUAUUGUCUCCUUGAUUAGUUUACUCACCUUUUCAGUGAGAAUGAAGGACUAGGAUUUCUCCUUAGUAAUCAAUUAUCAUAUUUGUUUUGAAGUAUCAUGGUCUUUUUGGCAGAUGAAUAUUUCAAUUGCUAUUUCCUUUGUACAAAUUGGCUAAUUGGAGUCUUUCGUAUGGACAUGCAGCUAGAAUAUUUGGCUUUGCUGUGUGAUAUUUGAGCUACAAUCAUAGUUGGCAAAAAAUGCAUAGGUCUCAACUUAAUCUGUAUCCAGAUUCCUCAAGUAAGGGAACAUUCUCCUCGAUCUGAUAAUCUCCAUUCCCCCAAGUAGAGCUUCAAUCCAAGACUCAAAGAAUAGUUAUGAAACUUGUUUAAACCAUUUCAAUAUAAUUUUCAUUUUGGAAAAACCAGAAGUUCCUUGCACGUUAUGUGUCAGUUUAACCCUUCUGCAUCAAAUGUUUUCAUGUCGAAAGGUAAUGAUCAUUCUCUAACUUUUGCAAUACACUUCCGCAGGAGCCAUUUUCAUCUUUGUACCAAGUAAAAGGUGAGUUCAAUUUGUAUACAUUUACUGUAUGCAUUCUGCUUUUUUGAGUACUGAGUUUUAUAUUGACUUUGUUGUAUGAUUUUCAUUUGAUACCCUCUCCGAAUGUUAUUGUUGGGAUUCUUUAAAAAUUGGGCUUCAAAGAUCACGUGUAGUGUGAUACACAGUUUUGUGUGGGCUCAAAACUUCAUUAAUCCGUUGUUAUUUUGUUCCAGUAUAUAGUUUGAGUACAGGUAUAACAGUUAUAUUAGCAGAAAUCUCUGUUUUAAAUAUAAGUAUAUCUCUUGUUAUAGCAGGGAGGUUCAAUCAAAGAUGCAGCACAAUGUGAGACGGUGGAGCAAGAGAUGCAGGUGAGGUUCAACCUUGCUCAUGAUCUCCUUCAGUUUUCUUAUGCUUCUUUUGAAGGAAAAUGCGAAACAUAAGAAACCUAGUCUUUGUGUUAACUUUUAAUUACAACAGACAAAAUGUGUUACCAUUUGCAAAAACAUCAGAUAAAUUUCAGAAUUAUAGCUGUGAUAGUGUUAAUGGCUAUAGCCUAUAUAUGACCUUCCAUCUCUUAUUAAGCCAAGAUUGAAUGCACCAAUUGUCUGUUGUCUGGCUUGUUAACUUCGACCUCUAUAAAAGUAAUAAGUAGCAUCUAUGUUUUGAUUACUUAUAAGUAGUUUUGACAAGUUUCACUCUUUUGGUUUUGGUUCACGAUUGCAGUGCAAAGUGGGACCAUGAUUGCUUUGAGAACAACACCGGUAACACUGCCUAUGAAUGGGCACAUAUUUCCUCUGUUUGUUACAGAACAACUAGUGUCUUGGAUUACUUAGAGAAUAACACCGGUGACACGGCCUAUGAAGGGCACAUGCUUUUCCUCUGUUUGUAACAGAACAAUUAGUGUCUGGGCCUGAGAAAGAGAUUCACGAGAUCUUUAUAUCCUGGUAUUAUUAUUAAAGGUCAUGUCUUCUUCUUUUACUUGGAUUUAUUGCACUUGAGCCGAGGGUCUUUUGGAAACAGCCUCUCUAUCCUCACGGGGUUGUGAACUUGUGGUGAGGUCUGUGUACACAAUACCCUCCUAGACCCCACUUGUGGGAUUCACUGGGUAUGUUGUUGUUGAUUAUUAAAGGUCACACCACACCUCUCCUAGACCAGAAUGCUGCAUUUCAUUAUGAACUAAAAUCACACCUUCACAUUUACUGAUGAGUAGCCUGUCCAUAAUCCUAUUGCAGAUGAAUGUGUGAGAAACAAGAAAACUUCACCAAAACGGGUGGAUGAAAGAAGCCAUGGAACUAUCAGUAAGUCGCCUCACAUCACAAAGCAAACGGAACAAAGGGAAACUAUUUCCAGGAAUCGAAUGUAGCUUGGUGGUUGAGCAACUAUUCUUCCUUUGGAUGUAGAGCUCAAAUACUCUCUGACACUAUCAAGCAAGCGUAGAGUUUAUUGACAUCGAUCCACUAUCAAAUCUACAUGUGGUAGAAAUAGUUGGUAGAUAGGAACUAAACACUGAAACUGUCAAUCCAAUCCAAUGUCAAAGGAACAACCAGCAGGGUUUUCACUGCAAGUUUUCGACCAAACUCCAGAUUGCAUUACCAAUGCAUUCUGGGCUGGCAAAGCAGGCACUGUUUACCCGCGUAAAAAUAGUCAGCGUAGUUUUUCCACCCUUCUGGGACUGUAAAUAAUCCUCCUAGUGCUCAUGAUACUUACUCUAACUCCUACUGCUUUAUCUAAUGCUACUAUGCAAUCAACAAAUGUUCAACCCUGCUAUGUAACCACUCUGUGUAAUAACUAGUGUGUUUAAUAUAUCAUCUUUUCUACCAAAAAAAAAAAACAGUUGUCAAACAAGAAGAAAAUGAGUCAAGUCUAGCUGAGCUGUUGGUGACAAAGAAAUUACCCUUCUUUUUCUUGGCUGCUUCAUCAGCUUUAACUUUUUGUUGUACAUUGUGUACAAUUUUCUGUAGAGUAUGGAGCCACUUUAGGGUAGGUAGGUCUAAUGCUAUCACAGAAAUUUCCUACUACUUACCUCUUUACAGCAUUUAUACAAGUUGACUAAUUCAAUUGGAGUAGACCCCAUCUUCAUACAAACUUUACAAAAGAUCAUCAAUUCUCUCAUAUAACAACCACAAUUUUUCUGUAAAAGGUGUCAGGAGGUUCAGGUGCACUGACGAGCCUGUACGAAUUUGAGAUAUUAACUGGCAUUAUUAAUGUGAUCGCCAUGCGGUGUUUUAUCAUUAGUCUUAAAGGGGUUAAUUGGAGCUUUUCUAUUAGCCAAGGUCUAAACCUAUAAUUAGUUUGUAAAGGAAUUCCGAUUCUAGCAAUACGACAACAAUACAUUAUUUUCAUAAAUCCCACGUUGGAGCACCAAUUAAAUCUGAAUUGCGUAUUGCAGGGCUGUUAAGGAUCGGAGUGACGUUCCCAACAAAAAAUUUUCCAUGCCCAAGGCUUGAACAUGAGAUUUCUAAUUAAGGGUGAAACAGUCAACCAUAACCUGGUUAGUUAAGGGGUCUCGGAUAGACUUGCAAACACACUGAAACAUUCAGAUCUAUACUCCUGCACUUUAUUUAUCUUAUUCACUUUGUUUUAACCCUAAAUCAAUAUUCAAACGGCUAGUAAAUGAAUCUAAAUAUAGUUGGAAAUACUUACCAGUUGACUAGAAGUCAAUGGUUUUGGCUCCCCUCCACUCCAGUAUGUCAUCUCUCCAAAAUAUAAUGAAUUGUUCAUAUUUACUCUCAAAAAACCCAAUCAUUGGUCAACAAUAACAUGUUUUCUCUCUUUUGAUCUCCAUUGCCAGACAAGAAUUCCACCCCCAUUACCUUCCAAAUCUUCCAAGAAUUGAUGGCAUCAUCAUCUUCUCCUUCUGAGAGUAAUUCACAGUAUUCAUGUCCUCAACGGAAGUACAAGUACGAUGUGUUUCUAAGUUUAAGAGGCACAGAUACUCGCAAAAAUUUUACAAGUCACUUGUACAAAGCUUUGACGAACAGGGGAAUAGUCACCUUUCUAGAUGAGAAAAGGCUAGAGAAUGGUGAUUCCCUCUCGAAAGAACUAGUGAAAGCUAUAGAAGAGUCUCAAGUUGCUGUAAUCAUCUUCUCAAAGAAUUAUGCUACGUCGAGGUGGUGCUUGGAUGAAGUAGUGAAGAUUAUGGAAUGCAAGGAAGAAAAUGGACAAUUAGUCAUACCAAUCUUCUAUGAUGUGGAUCCAUCACAUGUUCGAUACCAAAGUAAGAGCUUUGCAAAAGCCUUAGCCAAACACGAAUCGAGGUAUAAGGAUGAUGUGCAACGAUGGAGGACUGCUCUAAGUGAAGCUGCAGAUCUAAAAGGAUAUGAUAUCCGUGAAAGGUGAGUUUGGAUGUGAAAUUCUACUUAUUCUCGUCUCUCUUAUCUGUAUAUAUCAAUAAUGUUGUUAUUUUUUGUAGGAUUGAAUCACACUGUAUUGAGGAUCUUGUUAAUGAAAUUUCGCCCAAAUUAUGCACGACUUCUUUAUCUUCUUUGAAAGAUAUUGUGGGAAUAGAUGCUCAUUUAGAGGAAGUCAACUACCUUCUAGAGAUGACAAGCAAUGAUGUCCGGAGGGUGUGGAUCUGGGGAACUGGGGGAGUUGGUAAAACGACAAUAGCAAAAGCUAUUUUUGAUAUACACUCAUCUAAAUUUGAUGGUUCUUGUUUCCUUCAGGUCAGUAAAGAAAACAAGCAUGAGAUACAUUCUCUGCAAAGUAGUCUUCUCUCUAAACUGGUAGGGGAAAAAGAAAGUGUGAAUGAUAAGGAGACAGGGAGGGACCUGAUUUCUCAUAGACUUCGUUUGAAGAAGGUUCUAGUUGUGCUUGAUAACAUAGAUCAUGAUGACCAAUUGGAUUACCUAGCAGGGAAUCUUGGUUGGUUUGGCAGUGGCAGCAGAAUAAUUGCAACAACGAGAGACAUGCAUAUCAUACGGAAAAACGAUGCCGUAUAUCCUGUGACUACACUACUUGAACAUGAUGCAGUUAAGUUGUUCAACCAAUAUGCCUUCAAAGAUGAAGUUCCAGAUAAGUGUUUCGAGGAGAUAACGUUGGAGGUAGUACGUCAUGCUCAAGGCCUUCCAUUAGCCCUGAGAGUGUGGGGUUCUUCCUUACGUAACAGGGAUAUUAUUUGGUGGAGGAGUGCUGUUGAUCGAAUAAAGAGGAACCCUAGUUCAACAGUUGUUGAAAACCUCAAAGUAAGUUAUGAUGGGUUGGAGCGUGAAGAUCAAGAGAUAUUUCUAGAUAUUGCAUGCUUCUUAAGAGGGAAAAAAGUAACCGAAAUCAAGCAAAUUCUUGAGAGCUGUGGUUUUGAAGCUGAUUACGGAUUGAGUGUGCUAAUUGACAAGUCUCUUGUGUUCAUCUCUGAAGAUACGAUUGAAAUGCAUGACUUAAUACAAGAGAUGGGAAAAUAUAUUGUGAAAAUUCAAACGGAUGCGGGCGAAUGUAGCAGAAUAUGGGAUUUUGAAGAAAUGAUGAUCAACAAUAAAGUAAGUAGGCUAAACAAUACAAUAAUAUUCAAUUUCUAGUUUUCAUAUCCCAAGACAUAUAGGGUCAAUUCCAUCAUUUGUUCUUCUUGCUUCAUAUUUUCGCACUUAAGUCACAUCAAUUUUUUACUUUAGUAGUAGAAGUAAGUAACAUCAAUUGUCUAACACUGCCUAGUUCGUCAAUUAGCCACUUUAACUACAACCGCCUAAUUCGUCUUUCUUGUGUUACUAAGUCAUGAUUUAGAGCCUGUUCGGAUUGUUUUUUUUCGAGUGCUUUUAAGCUGAAAUUUCUUUUAAGCACUUCUAUAGUGUUUGAGUAAAAUAAAAAUAUGCUUCUAAGCACUUGUUUUUAAGUCAAAAAGAUAAAACUAAGCCAAAAGUUUUAAGCCUAUCCAAACAAGCUCUUAGUCUAGUAGCCACUUACUCUGUUUAAGCCAACUUUUUUCUUUGAGAUAACUUGAAUUUUGUAUGACAUUUUAUAUAUACUAACUCAAUCAGGAAUUCACUUUACCGAUGAAUUUCUUAUUUGAAAAAAUUAUAAGUUAUUUGCACUACUACACUUACAAUUUUAUUCUCUCACUGCAUGAAAAAACUUUCAGACUUGACUCUAAAGAACUUCUUAGGAAAUGUAUAACUCCAUUAGAAAAUAGAAUUGUUGAAUUAAUUGCACUAAGUAUUUCUCUUAAGCAACAUAUUUUGUUAAAUAGACCUAACAAAUUGUAAGUUAAUUUGGCACUGCAAGGAUUGAGAAAGUAAUCAUAUUGGCAAUUGGAUUUUAUACAACAUUUGAAGUUAUACUUUUGUAAAGAAAUGAUCUUUUUUACCAGGGAACCAAGGCAAUGGAAGCAAUCUGGUUUCGUGAUGAUAAAAAUAUAUGCUUUAGCAAAGACGCAAUGAAAGAUAUGGAAAAACUUAGGAUAUUAUACAUAUGGUCCCAAGAUAACUCCCUUUGCUCCAUUGAGUACCUGCCCAGCAACUUGCGUUGGUUUGUCUGGAAUCACUUUCCUUGGGAGUCAUUGCCAAAAAAUUUUGAACCCAAAAGGCUUGUUCAUCUUGAACUCCGCUUCAGCUCACUGCAUCAUUUAUGGACGGGAAUAAAGGUACCGUUUUAUUUGAGAUACUUUGUAUUUUGGGUUGUCAUGCUCGUGUUCAAAUGAAUUAAGUUAUUAUAAUAUCUUUUAGGUCGUUUUCUUUCAAAUCGUUGCAUCAUAAUUUUAACUAAGAAGCUCAAUUUAACAACUUGUGUUGUUUUCAUUACUCUCUUUGUUAUCAUUUAUCCUCCCGGCGAGUCCCAGGUUGAGAUCCAUGCUUCCACGUGACAUCUUUUGAAACAAUAUAUAUACACACACUUUUUAACCUUUUUAAGUUUUGGACCAAAAUUUUAAAAUACAUGCUGGAACUCCAUUACUUGGGCUAAAAAUUUUCAUUUUAGUAAAAGUAAUGGGGUUUCAACCAGUUUUUUCUCACAGGCUUGGCCCGAAAAAGAAAAAUACAAUGUUGAAAUAAAUAGUCAUUGCAUCUAAAGAGGAACUAGAAAGAAAACAUAGUUGGAACUUUACUACCUUGGCUUAAUCUUCUUUUUAUGUGGAUAUUCAUAAUGAAAUUUCAACCAACUGUUUUUACAGAUUUGGUCUGGAAAAAACAAUACACAAUUAGAAUAAAUAGUCAUUGCAACUAAAGAAGAAAAAAAAAAUUACACAAUCCAUUAUUUUGGCUAAAAAGUUUAUGUUUGGCUGAAAAUCAACGGAACUGCAACCAAAAAUCUUUUAUAUACAUAUUUUGCCCCCCAAAAAAUACACACUUGAAAUAAAUAGUCACUGCAUCUAAAGACGAAACAAAAAGAAAUAUGUAGUUGGAACUGAAUCAUUUUGGCAUAACUUUUCUGUUUGGCUAAAACAGUGGAAUUCUAGCCAAGUUACUUUGCUAUGGAUUUGGUCCCAAUAAAGAAAAAAAUACACAAUUAAAGCAAAUAGCCAUUACAUCUAAAGAAUAAAAAAAAAUACAAAUUUGGGUUAAAAUGGGCAUUCUAAUUAAGAAGAAGCAAGAAGAGAUUUGCGAAAAAUAUUCCACUUGGAAGCUUAUUUUUCAAUUAAACACAGGUCAUUUGAUUCAUAGAUAAGCCCCUAGCUAAAUCUAAAUCCAAGGCAGCUACUAUUGUUGUUUUCCUAUAUAACUCAUUCUUUCUAUAUUCUGAAUAUAUUGCAGCAUUUGCCGUCUCUACGGAGGCUAGAUCUCAGCUACUCCAAAAACCUGAGGAAAACACCAGAUUUCACGGGGAUGCCUAAUUUGGAGUAUUUGAAUCUGGAGGAAUGUUCGAGUCUUCUAGAGGUUCACCAUUCCCUAGGUGGUUGCAGAAAACUCAUUAAAUUAAAUUUGCGAAGUUGUGGACACCUAAAGAGGUUUCUAUGUGUUAAUGGGGAAUCUAUUGAAUAUCUGCACCUAGGUGGUUGCUAUAGUUUAGAGAUAUUUCCAAGGAUCUGUGGGAGAAUGAUUCACGUGGAACGCUCUGGGAUAAGGGAAGUACCAUCAGCUAUUAUUCGGCCCCAAUCUAGUUCUACAGAGCUAGAUUUGAGUGACAUGAAAAACCUUGCAACACUUCCAUGCAACAUUUGCAAGUUGAAAGGUUUGGUGAAGCUAAAAGUGUCCUACUGCUCAAAGCUUGAAAGCUUGCCAAAAGAGAUAGGUGAUUUAGAAAACUUAGAGGAGCUUCAUGCCACAGGGACUCUAAUUUCACAACCUCCACCUUCCAUUGUCCGCUUGAACAAGCUUAAAUUCUUGACUUUUGCAAAUAAUCAAUUAGAAGAUGGAGUGUGCUUUGUGUUCCCUCAGGUGAAUGAAGGGUUACUUUCAUUGGAGAAACUGGAUCUCAGUUACUGCAAUUUAAAAGAUGGAGGACUUCCGGAAGACAUUGGAUCCUUAUCCUCUUUGAAAGAGUUGAAUCUCGAUGGAAAUAAUUUCGAGCAUUUGCCUCUAAGCAUAGCCCAACUUGGUGCUCUUCGAUCCUUGACCUUAUCACAUUGCAAGAGGCUUACACAGCUGCCAGAAUUUCCACAGCAAUUAGAUACAAUAAAUGCAGAUUGGAGCAAUGAUUCAAUCUGUAAUUCAUUGUUUCAGAAUAUCUCAUCAUUGCAGCAUGAUAUCUCUGCUUCAGAUUCCUUGUCACUAAGAGUGUUUACAAGUUGGGGGGAGAAUAUCCCAAGGUGGUUCCACCAUCAGGGAAUUAUGGAUACAAGUGUAUCAGUCAAUUUGCCUAAGAAUUGGUAUGUAUCGGAUAAGUUCUUGGGAUUUGCUGUAUGUUACUAUGACGAAUUAAUUGAUGACAUCACUGCUCAUUUGAUUCCCUUAUGUGAUGAUGGGAUGUCGUCGAUGACCCAGAAAUUUGCCUUAUCCAACCAUUCAGAAUAUCUUGAGAAAUAUGCUAUUCAUUUUUUGUUGGUACCUCUUGGUGGCUUAUGGGAUGCAUCUAAUGCAAAUGGAAAAACACCAAAUGACUAUGGGCUUAUUAGGCUAUCUUUUUCUGGAGAAAUGAAGGAGUUUGGAUUUCGUUUGUUGUAUAAAGACGAACCAAAGCUUGAGGGAUUGUUACAAAUAAGGGAAAACAAUGACUCCAUGGCAUCAUCUUCUUCUUCUGCUAAAUCGUCACAGUUGCCUCAACGGAAGUAUGAUGUCUUCCUAAAUUUUAGAGGUGAAGAUACCCGCACAACAUUUACGGGUCACUUGUACCAAGGUUUGAGAAACAGGGGAAUAUUCACCUUUCAAGGUGACAAAAGGCUAGAGCAUGACGAUUCUAUCCAAGAAGAACUCUUGAAAGCUAUAGAAGAGUCUCAAGUUGCUGUAAUCAUUUUCUCAAAAAAUUAUGCUACGUCGAGUUGGUGCUUGGAUGAACUAGUGAAGAUUAUGGAAUGCAAGGAGGAAGAAAAUGGACAAACAGUCAUACCGGUGUUCUAUGAUGUGGAUCCAUCACAUGUUCAAAACCAAAAGGAGAGCUUUGCAGAAGCCUUUGCCAAACACGAAUCAAAGUAUAAGGAUGAUGCUGAAGGAAUGCAGAAGGUUCAAGGAUGGAGGAAUGCCCUAACUGCUGCUGCAGAUCUAAAAGGAUUCGAUAUCCGUAACGGGUGAGUUAAAAUAACAUAAUUGCUUUUCAUGAAAGAAGAAACAGAAUUAUUUCCAUUCAAAUUUGGAUGCUUCUAUGAAGACUACCUACCAAAAUGAGUCAAUCAGAAUAUUAUAUAUUUCUUAAAUAAUUUUUCAUAUUUUCUAAAAAUAGAAUAAUUAUAUAGUUCUAUCUAUAAGAAGGCAUAGUUCCUAUUAGUUUUAUUGCUCAAUGACAUUGUUAGGUAGAUAAUAUGUUGAUUGGUUCUUCAAGAGUUCGGUCUUUUCAGUAAGAAGGCAUAGUCCUAUCAAUUAAAAGCAUAUAAAAGAAUGAUGGUAGAUUAAAUAUGUUUCUGUCAGUAAGAAGGCACAGUCCUGUUUAAUUAGAGAGAACACAUAAAAAUCCUCAUAAACUAUUCAAGUUUUGCAACUUACAUAUAGAUUGUUGCUAUUACCCUUAACAACAUGAAAUACUUACUUAUACUUGACUUUCUCACAUUUUCCACAAUCAAUCUUCUUAUUUAUGUAGGAUUAAAUAUGAGAAUAUUCAGCAGAUCGUCGCCCACAUCUCUUCCAAAUUAGGCAAUAGUGCUUAUUCUUUAUCUUCUUUGAAAGAUGUUGUGGGAAUACAUGCUCAUUUAGAGAAACUAAAAUCCCGACUUGAAAUAGAAAUUGAUGAUGUUCGGAUCUUAGGGAUCUGGGGAACAGGUGGAAUUGGUAAAACGACAAUAGCAAAAGCCAUCUUUCAUACUCUAUCUUAUCAAUUUAAAGCUGCUUGUUUUCUCGAGGAUGUUAAAGAAAAUGCCAAAAAGAAUCAACUGCAUUAUUUACAAAAUACUCUUCUCUCUGAACUGUUAGUAGAGACUGAUGAUUAUGUCAAUAAUAAGAAAGAGGGGAAGUGCAUGAUUCCGAGCAGACUUUCUUCUAUGAAGGUGCUAAUUGUGCUUGAUGACAUUGAUGAAAGAGAUCAUUUGGAGUAUUUAGCAGGUGAUGUUGGUUGGUUUGGUAGUGGCAGCAGAGUUGUUGUAACAACUAGAAAUAGAGCUUUGAUAAAGAAUGCUGAUGCAAUAUAUGAAGUGCCUACACUACCUGAUCUUGAAGCUUUGCAACUGUUCAAUCAGUAUGCUUUCAAAAAAGAAGUUCCAGAUGAGCGUUUUAAGAAAUUCUCGUUGGAGGUAGUAGAUCAUGCUAAAGGCCUUCCUUUAGCCCUCAAGGUGUGGGGUUCUUUGUUGCAUAGGAAAGACCUAAGUCAGUGGAGAAGAAUUAUAGACUAUAUAGAGAAAAACUAUAGUUCAGGGAUUGUUCAAAAAACUCAAAAUUAGUUAUGAUGGGUUGGAUCCCAUGAACAACAGAUAUUUCUAGAUAUAGCUUGUUUUUUCCGAGGAGAUGAAAAAAAGAAAGUCAUGCAAAUCCUUGAGAGCUGUGAUUUUGGAGCUGAUGGAUUGGAUGUCCUAAUUGACAAAUCUCUUGUGUUCUUAACUGAAGAUGAUACAAUUGAAAUGCAUGACUUAAUACAAGAUAUGGGUAAAUAUAUAGUGAAAAUUCAAAAGGAUGCAGGCGAAUGUAGCAGAAUAUGGGACUAUGAAGAUUUUGAAGAAGUGAUGGUCAACAAUAAAGUAAGUAGACUAAACAAUACAAUAAUAUUCAAUUUCUAAUUUUCAUAUUCCAAAGACAAAUAGGGUCAAUUCCAUUAUUUGUUCUUCUUACUUCAUAUUUCCGCACUUAAGUCACAUCAGUUUUUUACUUUAGUAGUAGAAGCAAGUAACAUUAAUUGUCUAACACCGCCUAGUUCGUCAAGUAGCCACUUUAAUUACCGCUGCCUAAUUUGUUUUUUCUUAUGUUACUAAGCCAUGAUUUAGUCUAGUAGCCACUUACUUUGUUUAAGUCAACUUCUUUUUUUUUUUAAAUAACUUGAAUUUUGUUUGAGAUUUUAUAUAUACUAACUCAAUCAGGAAUUCACUUUACCGUUGAAAUUACAAGUUAUUGGCACUACUACUUUACAAUUUUUUUCUGUCACUGCAUGAAAAAACUCUCAGACUUGACUCUAAAGCACUUUUCAGAAAAUGUGUAACUCCAUAGAAAAUAGAACUGUUGAACUAAUUGCACAAAGUAUACUUCUCUUAAGCAACAUAUUUCAUUUAAAAGACCUAGCAAAUAUUGUACGCUAAUUUGGCACUGCAAGGAUUGAGGAAGUAAUCAUAUUGGCAAUUGAAUUUUAUACGACAUUUGAAGUUAUACUUUUGUAAAGAAAUGAUCUUUUUUACUAGGGAACCGAGGCAAUGGAAGCAAUCUGGUUUCAUUACGAUGGGGAAAUAUGCUUUAGGAAAGAGGCCAUGAAAAAUAUGGAAAUACUUAGGAUAUUAUACAUAUGGUCCCAAGAUUACUCCCCUUGCGAUGAUGGCUCCAUUGAGUACCUGCCCAACAGCUUGCGUUGGUUUGUCUGGAAUCACUUUCCUUGCGAGUCAUUGCCAGAAAAUUUUGAACCCAAAAGGCUUGUUCAUCUUCAACUCCGCUUCAGUUCACUGCGUUAUUUAUGGACGGGAAUAAAGGUACAAUAAUUAAAUUCUUGUUUAUUUUUAUUUUCUCUCUAACUAUAUUUGUCCUUCAGUGAUGCACAGAUACUUUUUCUUUCAGACUGUUUUAUUUGAUAUACUUUAUAUUUUGGCUUGUUCUGAAAUUAUGAUGCGUGUCUUUAAAAUGAAAAGAAGUUGUUAAAUCCAUAAACUCAAAUUAAUAUAUUUUAUAUAACUAGUUUUGACGCACGUGCGUUGCACGUGAAAAUCAAACCAUGUACCACACUAUUUUAAAAAUAAUAUGAAUAUUGCUAAAUAAAAAAUUAGUCACUCUUAAAAUCUCUUAGUUACACCUCUAAAAUAAACUUUCUACUCCCUUCGCCAUAGUGCAUUACUUUGUUAUUAUUGUUUUGUAGUUGUUCUUACUUUUAAUAUAAUAAAAUAUAAAUAAAUAUUGAUAUCAAAUAUAGAAGAUAUACUAAAUUGGAUGUUUUAGUUGGAGUAUUAGAUUAAUUUAACAUUCAUGUUAUGGAGUGUUCUAAUUUCACUGAACUUUGAGAUUGUCAAACGUUUGUAAAUCAAAACUUGAGGUUUUAAGAAGAGAAGAAUAGAAAACAUAAAAAAUCGUAGUUUAAAAAUGUGAGAAAAUCCGUCCAUUUAUAGUUAAAAAUGUGUGGUAUUAGUAUGUGCAUAUUGUUUCUUAUCAUAAAAAUAUAGAACUGAUGAAGCCCCUUUUUUUUACAGCCAACAAAGGGUAGUGUAUAAAAAACUGCUCGUGGUGCCUUAUAAAAAAGAAGUCACAACCUUUUAGAAAGGUCAAAACUCAUCGGAAAAGUCAUAAAUCUUCGAAAAAGUCGCAACCCUUUAGAAAAGUCACAACUCUUCGGAAAAGUCGCAACCCUAUAGAAAAGUCACAACCCUUCAAAGUGGUCACAACUCAUCAGGAAAGUUAUAACUCUUCAAAAAUGUCACAACUCUUCAAUGUGAAAAGUUGUCUGACUUUAAUAUAAUACAAUUUAAUAUAAUAUAAUAUAACUCAUCGAAAAGUCACAACUCUAUAAAAAAAGUCACUACCCAUCAAUGUGAAAAGGUGUAUGCAUUUAAUAUAAUAUAGUGAUAUAAAUAUAAUAUUAAAUAUAGAAUAUAUAAUAAACUGGGUGUUUUAAGUUGGGGGUAUUAUAGUGAUUUAACAUAAAGUUAGGGAGUUCAUGCUUUUAAGGUAGUAUAGAUAUAAAUAUAGAUAGAUAGAUAGAUGGAUAUAUAGAUAGAUUUUGGGUUAUUCUCAUAUCUAUUACUGGAAGAUCUUUAUGUCGUUUUUCUCCCAAAUCUUCCUAUCAUAUAUUAACUUAUAAGAAGCUAAGUGGUUCAAACAUUUCCCUAGCAAGAUAUGAAUCGCAUCCUGAGAUUGCAUGUAGUGGGACGGACAUGAAGGGUAACUUAUGUACAACUAUUUUAUAGAAAAAUACAAUGUUGAAAUAAAUAGUCAUUGCAUCUAAAGAGAGAAUAAAAAGAAAACACUGUUGGAACUCUACUUCCUUGGCUAAUUUUUUUUUUUUUAAUUUGGAUAAACGUACUGAAACCUCAGCCAAUUUUUUUUACAGAUUCUUUUACCUGUCUGUUCUUGUUUUCCUUUCUCAUCCUUUUUCUGUUCUGAAUAGCAGCGUUUUCCGUAUCUACGGACGCUAGAUCUCAGCCGCUCUAGAGACCUGGCGCAAACACCAGAUUUCACGGAGAUGUCAAAUUUGGAGAAUUUGGAUUUGGGCAAUUGUAUUAAUCUUGAAGAGGUUCACCAAUCCCUGGGAUGUCGCACAAAACUCAAGAGGUUGAAUUUGAUAUAUUGUAGACGCCUCAAGUGGUUUCCAUAUGUUAACGUGGAAUCUCUUGAAUAUCUGGAUCUAAAGUUCUGCUCCCGUUUGGAGAAAUUUCCAGAGAUCUGCGGAAGACCGAGGCCGAACUUAAAUAUUAAGAUGUGUGACUCUGAGAUAAGGGAACUGCCAUCAUAUAUUGUUCAGUGCCUAACUCUGAGACAUUUGGAUAAUCUUGAAGCUCUUCCGAGAAGCAUUGGCAUGUUGACAGGCUUGGUUACUCUAGAUGUGUCGAAUUGCUAUAAACUUGAAAGCUUGCCAGAAGAUCUAGGAGAUUUAGUAAACUUGGAGAAGCUUGAUGCCACAGGGACUCUAAUUUCACGACCUCCGUCUUCCAUCUUCCGCUUGAACAAGCUUACAUUCAUGAGUUUUGCGAAACAAAGAUAUAACAUAAGCCUCAAAGAGGGAGUGUACUUUGAGUUCCCUCAAGUGAAUGAAGGGUUACACUCAUUGGAAGAUCUGGAUCUCUGUUACUGCAAUUUAAAAGAUGGAGGACUUCCGGAAGACAUUGGAUCCUUAUACUCUUUGGAACACUUGAAUCUCCAGGGAAAUAAUUUUGAUCAUUUACCUCAAAGCAUAGCCCAACUUGGUGCUCUUCGAUCCUUGAACUUAUCAAAUUGCAAGAGGCUUACACAGCUGCCAGACUUCAUGGGGAUGCCAAACUUGAUGACGCUGAAUCUCAGUAUAAUUAACAUUGAGCGUUUGCCUCGAAGCAUAGAACAACUUAGUGCUCUUCGAUCCUUGGACUUGUCAUAUUGUGAGAGGCUUAAAGAGUUGCCAAUCUUCAUGGGAAUGCAAAACUUGGAGACUUUGAAUUUGUCAAAUUGUAUAAAUCUUGAAGAGGUUCAUCGUUCCCUGGGACUUCUCAAAAAGCUCUGUACAUUAAAAAUGACUAAUUGUAAACAGCUUAAGAGGUUUCCAGCUCUGUGCAUUGAUUCUCUUGAUUAUCUGUGUCUACGGGAUUGCUCUAGUUUAGAAAAAAUUCCAGAAAUCCUCGGAAACAUGAAAGCUGAGUUAGAGAUUCACAUGCUCGACAGUGUAAUAAGGGAUCUAGGUUUUAGAGGUUUUGAAAACCUUGCAACACUUCCGAGCAGCAUUUGUAAGUUGAAAAGUUUGGUCAGCCUAAAUGUGUCGGAUUGCUCUAAGCUUAAAAGCUUUCCAGAAGAAAUAGGAGAUUUAGAAAACUUGGAAAAUCUUGAUGCUAGAGGUACUCUAAUUUCACAACCUCCAUCUUCCAUUGUCCAGUUGAAGAAGCUUAAAUUUUUGAGUUUUGCAAAACAAAAUUCUGGAGGAGGUCUCGUAGAUGGAGUGUACUUUAGUUUCCCUGUGGUGUCUGAUGGAUUACGCUUGUUGGAGAAUCUGAAUCUCAGUUACUGCAAUGUAAUAGAUGUAGGUCUUCCGGAAGACAUUGGAUUCUUAUCCUCUCUGAAUGAGUUAUAUCUCUCUGGAAAUAAUUUUGAGCAUUUGCCUCAAAGCAUAGCCCAACUUGGUGCUCUUCGGUCUUUGGACCUAUCAGAUUGCAAGAGGCUUAAAGAGUUGCCAGGUUUCGAAGGGAUGCAAAACUUGGCGACUUUGAAUCUGUCAAAUUGUAUGAAUCUUGAAGAGGUUCAUCAUUCCCUGAAAUGUCUUGAAAAUCUCUGUACAUUAAAGUUGACUAAUUGUAAAAGGCUCAAGAGGUUUCCAGUUCUGUGCAUUAAUUCCCUUGAAUAUCUGAAUCUAGAGGGGUGCUCUAGUUUAGAAAUGUUUCCAGAAAUCCUCGGAAGCAUGGAUUUGAAGUUAAAGAGUGGGUUAAAGUGCCUAGACUUGAGAGGUUUAGAAAACCUUGUAACACUUCCGAGCAGUAUUUGUAAGUUGAAAAAUUUGGUGGAGCUAAAUGUGUCGGCAUGCUCAAAACUUGAAAGCUUACCAGAAGAGAUAGGUGAUUUAGAGAACUUGGAGUGGCUUGAUGCCAAAAAUACUCUAAUUUUGCAACCUCCGCCUUCCAUUGUUUGUUUGAACAAGCUUCAUUUCUUGCGGUUCGCAAAACAAAAAUCAGAAGUAGGCCUCAAAGCUGGAGUGUUCUUUGUUUUCCCUGCGGUGUCUGAUGGAUUACGCUUGUUGGAGAAUCUGAAUCUCAGUUACUGCAAUGUAAUAGAUGUAGGUCUUCCGGAAGACAUUGGAUUCUUAUCCUCUCUGAACGAGUUAUAUCUCUCUGGAAAUAAUUUUGAGCAUUUGCCUCGAAGCAUAGCCCAACUUGGUGCUCUUCGGUCUUUGGACCUAUCAGAUUGCAAGAGGCUUAAAGAGUUGCCAGGUUUCGAAGGGAUGCAAAACUUGGCGACUUUGAAUCUGUCAAAUUGUAUAAUUCUUGAAGAGGUUCAUCAUUCCCUGGGACGUCUCAAAAAGCUCUGUACAUUAAAGUUGACUAAUUGUAAAAAGCUCAAGAGGCUUCCAGUUCUGUGCAUCGAUUCCCUUGAAUAUCUGAAUCUAGAGGGGUGCUCUAGUUUAGAAAAUUUUCCGGAAAUCCUUGGAAGCAUGAAUGUGAAGUCGGAUAUUCACAUGUUAGAUAGUGUGAUGAGGGAUCUAAAUUCCAUGUAUAUCUCACUUCCACGUUCCUUGUCUCAGGAUAUCGUUUCCUUGCCGAAUGACAUCUCUGCUUCAGAUUCCUUGUCACAAAGAGUGUUUACCAUUGUGCAUGAUGAGAAUAAGAUCCCAAGUUGGUUCCACCAUCAAGGAAAGGAUGAAAGUGUAUCGAUCAAUUUGCCUGAAAAUUGGUAUGUAUUGGAUAACUUCUUGGGAUUAGUUGUAUGUUACUCUGGCAACCUAGUUGACACCACAGUUGACUUGAUUCCCUUAUGUGAUGAUGGGAUGACCAGAAACUAGAAUUAUCCUUCCUUCCAAAUUAUGAUACAGAAUUAUCCGACGAUUCAGAAUGUGAUACUGAACCUACGAUUCAUUUUUUCUUGGUAUCUCUUGCUGGCUUAUGGGAAACAUCUAAGGCAAAUGGAAAAACACCAAAUGACUAUGGGCUUAUUACAUUAUCGUUCUCCGGAGAAACGAAGGAGUUUGGAUUCCGUUUGUUGUAUAAAGAUGAACCAACAGAACAUUGCAUUGGGACACCAUGAUGAAGCCAAUUGUUCCUCUUCUAAGAAACAAAGCUCUUAUUUAUAAUAUUCAUUGGAGGAGCUGUCUUUGAGAAUCUGCAGCAACAACCAGUCUCUUCAGAAACUUUGCAGCUCUCUCCCCCCAAGCCCAGAAUUUUGGCUUAAAUAUAGGUAAUAUACCUCAUGAUUUGUUUUCCCCUAGUUGGUAGUGAAAUUCUGUUCAACUCUCUUUUUAUGUAAUUCUCUCCUAUUAGCUACAAAGUCUUCUUCCAAUUCUGUUAAUAACUUUUUCAUUUCUUUUCCUUUUUUUUUCUUUAUUCUUUCCCGUACUGACAGGAGCUCAUCAAUGGUGAUGUAUGUAUCAACAGUGAGUUUUGUUGAUUGAUUCUCCAUCUUGUGUUAAGCCAUGAUUAACCAUGGUGAGUUAAAGGAUGUGAACAAGUUUUUUUUUCGAUACUCAAAUCAGAUCUUGGAAUCAUUCAAUCUUCAUAAAUUCUUACCUUAAAAUGUGCUCACAAGUGAAUAGAAUAAUCCUGCAUUUUAUCCUGGUAUUUUUAUCACUUAUCCCUCAUACCAAAUAACCCUUAAGGUCAUUUGGUUGGGAACAAGUUAUCCUGGUUAUAAUUAUCCUGGGAUAAGCUAUUCUACUAUGUAUAUGGAAUAACUUAUCCCAUCAAUAUAGUAUAAAAUUAUAAAUAGUGGGAUAAAUAAUUCAAACACUACCUAAUACCUCCAACCAAACACAUGAUAAAAUUAUCCUGCAUUUAUCCCGAGAAUAUUAUACCUUAUACCUCACACCGAACGACUCCAUAGAGUAUUGGAAACAAAUUUCUCUUAAGUUCUAUAUUAUACUCAAUUUUGUUUUUCGACUUGUUCAUUUGUGGUUCUUUUUACGAUUCAAUUGGCUCUAAAGUGAUUUUCUGAAAUCAAGUAUUUUUUGUUUCUUUAAUUAGUUCACGCACCUUUUUCAGUGAGAAUGAAGGACUAGGAUUUAUCCUUAGAAUCAAUUAUCAUAUUCAUUUUGAAGUAUCACUUCAGAUGAAUACUUCAAUUGCUAUUUCCAUUGUUCAAAUUGGGUGAUCCGCAAUCGGAGUCUUUGAUAAGGAUGUAUAUCUAAACCUCUUUGGUUUGCUGUGUGAUGUUUGAGCAUCAAUCCCCAACAUUUGGAAAAAAAUGGAAUAGUUCUCAACUAAUCUGUAGAUGCUUAUAUAUCAUAUUACUUCCUCAAGUAAGGGAAACAUUCUCUUAGUUCUUCAUUUAAUUAUGUGCUGUAUUAAUUACAGAACUAGUUUUUCCUCCAUGCAGUAAAUUUUAGUGGGGUUUUCAGGCCUGUGCAGCUGCUGAGGAGUUUAUGCGGCAGUUGCCACAGUUAACUAAGCAGGAGCAAGAGACUAAACUCUGAAGAUGUUGAUGAAGUGAGCACUCUGAAUUUCAUUUCUAGAACAUAACUUGAAUUUUAAUUUAUAGAACUAAACUUGAAUGCCACAGAUGCUUACUAUUGUGAUGGCUAUCCAACUAGAAAGAAACUACUCUUGUAUGCUCUUCAUCAGAAACUGAAGUUCACCAUUUUACUUGGAAAAUAUAUUUCAUUUUGGAAAGACCAGAAGUUUCUUAAACAUUACAUAACUUUAAAAGCUUUAGGUGGGACGACUCAGUUUGGCACUUAAUCCCUCUAUCCUAAAUUGAACCUUCACAUUUAACUUGUUACUAGGAGUGUUUAUCAUCGAGCAUCCUGAGAAGAAGAUCCCAAGUUGGUUCCACCAUCAGGGAAUGGAUAGCUUCUUGGGAUUUGCUGUAUGUUACAGUGCUUUGUCAAGUUUGAAAACAUGGUUUUGAAAUUCAGUGUUUGCAAAGCCUUGAGGCCGCUUGACAUAUACGUCCUCCUUUAGAAUCCAUUCAGGAAGGCACUGUGCACAUCCAUUUGAUGGAGUGUGAAUUCCAUAUAGGCAG